UUCCAAAGUGUUGAGUUCAGUUCAGGGCAGCUUCCCUGUUCUGUUAAACUUUGGGACACAGAAACACAGGCUAGGGGAGAGGAUUAGAUAGAAAGCACUGCUUUAUUCAUUUACCUCCCAGCCCACAAAA
Small nucleolar RNA from Myotis lucifugus (little brown bat), 130 nucleotides. The record is from Ensembl. NCBI's taxonomy places the organism in Eukaryota, Metazoa, Chordata, Mammalia, Chiroptera, Vespertilionidae.